GAAGCAAAAGUCGGCUACAAGCCUUCCUGACUCGGCUUGACCCAGCUUGAGACGGCUAGUGCUAAGUUAAGCUCCAAAUUAGACGUCUUCUGUAUAGCUUAUAUGUCUAGUCUUGAAGACUUCUGGUGUAAGACCAGGUGGAGACGUACAGGCUCUGGUACACGUUUUUAAAGUCAAUCUCCAAGUCUUGCAAGCAAAACUCGCGCACAUUUUUACUACCAGCUUGCAACGAUUCCUUCCACAGCACCAUCAGUGGAAUGAUUACAUCGUUAUGGCAUCGUCAUAUAACAGCUCUCCGCACAAAACAGUGUAUUACCAGCGUACUGCAAGGUUUAUGCUCGAGCCGAUUUCGCAUAGGCCGCUAGUUAGACGGUUACAGCGCGCGUACCAAGUAUCAGCCAAUGAGGAAGGUACCUUCCUCCAUGGCCAAUUCAAACCUACCGCGUCAGCUCAAACUGAAAGCCGGGCCAUAGUUUCGUGUGCCCGUGAUGGCAAUACAACAAAACCUUUCAAUAAAAUGUGUACCGUUAUUACGCAAUUCGUAAAAGCUUUAAUAAAACAUUUUGAACGAAGUUUCACAGGCUAGUAUAACAUGGUGCGGCGCAACAGUUGGUGCGCUACUAUGGCUUGGCCGCUUCCAACGCUAGCUCCCGCGCCUGCCAUGCUGCCGUGCAUUGUCUCCGUUCGCGCUUGCCGUGUCACGCAUGGCCGCGCGCCCGCACUUUGCAAAGGAUUCAACGGGUCGGUUUCGUGUGCACAUCGCAUUCUCUGUGUGUUCCUGCGUUGAUGGCUCAGCUUCGUUUUGGUAAGUGGUUAAAGUUUUUCUCUCUUUUGAAAGCUCUGUCACACGAUUGUAGCACCAUGACCCUCUUGGUUGAUUGUUUCUCAUGCAACGGCUGUUGUUUCGAAUUUCCUCGCGGCACGUCCGAUGUCACGGACACUAUAUAUAAGCUCGUCAGGUUGGGAUUACAUUUUGGUUGGUGUGGGAUCAUUCACGGCCGUUAGCAUCGACUGACCGUGCUAAAAUUGUUACAUCGGGAACCACUUCUCGCGGAGUCGCCGCCUAGUUUCCUCGUGGUCGAAAGUUGCGAAUUUUUUAAGCUGGUGCUGUAAUUAUAUAAACGCGAGCUAUGCCGCUUAUUGACUUAUAUUACUUCGUUGAUGGUCUUAGAACUGCAUCACUAUGCGAAUAAUAUAUCUGCGUCCCCGACUGAUUGCGUCGAGAUGUAAGCACGUGCGUUUUAUAUACGUCCGCUGCAUUCAGUUUGUGAAGAACAAAUGCAAAGCAACAACAGCUUGAUUUGGGCGAGUUGGUAAAUACUGAAUAACGUAGGUACAGCGCAACAACUUUUGUAAGGAAACGGAGACAGGAAACAACGCUAUACCUGCGUUAUGUAGUACGCUGUACCAGCGUUUUCCUGUCUAAUUGUUUCCUUCCAAAAAUUGUUGCGCUGUACCUACGUUAUCCAAAAGCAAAGCGGCGCACAAAAACAAAAUGAGACUUUGUGCGAACUCCCUUGUUGCCCAUUGUAUAAGAUACGCUUUGAUUCAUUUUUGUAGUACCCAAGGCCUUGAACAGCAAAGUAUGACAGCCUGCCCAAUGCAAGCACUUCUAUGGAUGAAUGCUACCCGUAGUGCAGUGAGGCCAUGAUUUCAGCAAAGAAUACCAACCACGGUGACAUAAUCUUGAGCCAGGUUGCACCUCAGAUAGGGAAUGAUGGCACUAGUUCCCAAAAGCUUGGAUGGGACUUGAAGUACUUACAACGAGCAGAGCAGGAUCGAACAUGUGCAGCUAUAUAGGAGUAUACUCAUGCAUGUAGAAGUUGCGGCCUGCAACAUGUUAUUAGCUACCGUCCAAGCUGUCAAAGUGUGCAUGGCUCUUGUCUAUCUUUUUUAGGUGCUUUCAGACAUUCACGUACUAAUCACAGACAUGGGAAGACUAUAAGACGUCAAGAUGAAAGGCUCCUAGCAGCUCUCGGUGUUCCCAACGAAACUGGCAGAAUGGCAGUGGCUGAUUACAAGCUGCCUUUGGUGAACAAAGAAACCGUGACCACAUUAGAAUCCGAGCAGAGCUCCAAUCCUGCAUGCUGAUGACACCUUGUAAGUAAAAGCUUUAUGAAUUGACUACAUGAGCACAUUUUUAUAAUAACUCGUGCCAGGUGUAACUAAUGCCUUUUAUAUGCAUGUUAAAUUGACUUCAUUGUUUUAUUCAAAUUGUGUGGCUUCAUGUUUUUGAGUUGUAUACGCAGUAGUUUCAGUUAAUACUUUUUUAUACUAUGGCUGUUUACAUCUUGGCAGUUUUUGUGUGUAAAUAUUGCUGCAGUAAUUUCUCUGGAAUGCAUAAUCAUCUAGUGUCAUUUGCUGUUCUGCCUUACCUUUUCUGGGGAUUUCAUACCCGCCUUCAUGCAGCCACUGUAAUAUCCACAGUGUGUAUAUUUGGUGUUUUCGGCUUUGAAUCCCUUUUGUUCUCUUCCAAAUUUUUUUUUUCAGACACAACGGCUCUCUGUUAUGGGGGGCUGGUACUUAAGAAGCUUUACUGCGGGCAUCCUACCCACGAUUUUCAGACAGUUUGGGUGGAAACUUAAGCUAGACUCUAGGCCAGCGGCGGAAAAAGAGCUUCAGUGACGUGCAUGUCUACAGUGUCAUGGAAGAUGCUUCAAAGGAUACUGGACCUGCCGCCAGCUGACAUGCCUUUCUUCCUCCUUAGUUCUGUUAAGAUGUGGGUUCAGUUUUUCUAGACAUGCAAUCCAUAAUAUAUGCAGUCUAGUCAAUCAGUGCACGGCAUUACAUGCCAUUCAUUUCCUAUGUAUAUAUUUAGUCACAAUCAAAGCAGGACAACACAUGUACAUAAUUUGCAAGAAUAAAAUUUUGUUUUUUGCUAA
Molecule: long non-coding RNA, 2882 nt
Organism: Dermacentor silvarum
Lineage: Eukaryota; Metazoa; Arthropoda; Arachnida; Ixodida; Ixodidae
Exons: 2
Source: RefSeq, a predicted model, not a curated record